Molecule: long non-coding RNA, 554 nt
Filed under: Vulpes vulpes (red fox)
Lineage: Eukaryota; Metazoa; Chordata; Mammalia; Carnivora; Canidae
Description: lncRNA (ENSVVUG00000023675.1)
Source: RNAcentral
GCCACCAACAGGCCUUGGGCUUGUCCCUCACCCCCCACCCCGGGGCUCUGACUCUGGGCCUAGUCCUUUUUCUCUAAAAACACUACCGUGUGUGUGUGUGUGUGUGUAGGUGUGUGUGGUGGGAGCGCUGAGAACAUGAGAGGGGCGCAGGGGGGGGCUUCCUGUCUUCCCAGACCUGCAGCGGCCCCGCUUCGUGGCUACAGGAGUUCACUGGAGAACGACUUGUGGAUGUUUAACCUCCGCUCCUGCCGCUCCUGCCGCUGCUGUCGGAGCCCACUUCCACUUGUCCCGGGUCGCCGGGAGGCUGAGAAACAGCAGGUUGCGCUACAUGGUGAAGCAGCUGGAGAACGGGGAGGUCAACAUCGAAGAGCUGAAGAAGAACCUGGAGUACACGGCGUCCCUGCUGGAGGCCGUCUACAUAGACGAGACGCGGUGAGAGGCGCCCCGGGGCGGGGUGGGGGGACAGGGGGGCCCGGAGGGAGGGCGGGAGGAAGGGGCAGGGGCACAGGGAGGGAGUUGGCCCGGUGGGGACACAGGGCAGCGAGGGAUGGAGG